CGCCUUUAGAAACUCAAUUAAAGGUAUAUUCUGCCCUAUGAUAACAUUAAAUGGCCGCGGUACCCUGACCGUGCUAAGGUAGCAUAAUAAUUUGCCUCCUAAUUAGAGGCUGGAAUGAAGGAACUCACGAAAGUUUAACUGUUUCAUUUUUACUUCUAAAAACUAUCAUUCAAGUGAAGAGACUUGUAUUUUAUAAAAAGACAAAAAGACCCUAUUGAGCUUUAUUCUACUUCAGGAAAAUAAAAAACUAUGAACUAUUACCCUGAUAAAGAAUUUUGUUGGGGCGACAAGAGAAGACCUAAAUCUUCUCAACCUCCUAAGGCUAUAGGCCAUAAAAAGAUCCGUCUAAAACGAUUCAAAAAUCUAGCUACCCUAGGGAUAACAGGCUAAUCUUCUUUGAGAGCCCAAAUUGACAAGAAGGAUUGGCACCUCGAUGUUGGCUUAGGGUACCAAAUAAAUGCAGAAGUUUAUUGAAGUAGGUUUGUUCAACCUUUAAUACCCU
RNAcentral lists this ribosomal RNA (502 nucleotides) under Atherospio aestuarii. Its description in RNAcentral is "Atherospio sp. HA-2022 partial 16S ribosomal RNA". It matches the Rfam family "Bacterial large subunit ribosomal RNA", at positions 1832 to 2597 of the family's 2925-position model. The record is from RNAcentral. Lineage: Eukaryota; Metazoa; Annelida; Polychaeta; Spionida; Spionidae.